UUUUCGGCAACAGAAGUUGAAAUAAAAUCUACCAGUCUGACCGCUCAGUACUCCUAGGACUCAGUGGUCAUGGGUCAGGAUUAAAAGUCUGCAUGUCUCUGGGGAGCCUGUCUCUAAGACUAUGGAUUUGACCAACAGAAACUUCCAGGGCAGGUGACUGCUGGGUUGCUUUGCAGCAUGGCACUCUCCUGAGGAUGAAUUUGAGUUCUUUGGUGUCAUGGGCACAGGGUUCCAGAAAGGCAGGAAGGUAGAACUAGGGAUGGUUCUAUGGUGUGUGGGCUCUAGGCAAGUGACCAGGUGGAGGCAGACCCAAUAUAGCGGCCCCCAGGGCCUUGAGAGCAGUUUCCAAUGGAAAUAUAGGCUUUCCCACCAGGGUUCUCCCAGUUGAGGCAGAAGGGGGAACCAUUGCCCAGAAUCUUCUAAGCUCAGUGUCAAAGGCAACUGGGAUCUUAGUGUCAUCUCUGCAGAUUCCAGAGCCUGCUUCACAAGGAGCGAAUGGUCCAUGACUUUGUCCUCUAGAUCAGAAGAAGCAGUGGCAAGGCUGAGAGAGGAGGCAAAGGAUUGGGUGGCUGCUCAGCAUUUGGUGUUUACUGAUGGCCCUCUUGCACAAUUUCAAGGUAGAGUUCAUUAUGUUGGGUGAUGAUGGUACUCUUGGCAGGAAAUUGCUUACAAGGUUGGGUCUGAUGAACUUGGGUUGAAAAGC
Molecule: long non-coding RNA, 703 nt
Filed under: Marmota monax (woodchuck)
Lineage: Eukaryota; Metazoa; Chordata; Mammalia; Rodentia; Sciuridae
Source: RNAcentral